RNAcentral lists this ribosomal RNA (483 nucleotides) under uncultured bacterium. RNAcentral's name for it is "partial 16S ribosomal RNA". It matches the Rfam family "Bacterial small subunit ribosomal RNA", at positions 30 to 506 of the family's 1533-position model. The record is from RNAcentral.
AUUGAACGCUGGCGGCAGGCCUAACACAUGCAAGUCGAGCGGAUGAAGGGAGCUUGCUCCUGGAUUCAGCGGCGGACGGGUGAGUAAUGCCUAGGAAUCUGCCUGGUAGUGGGGGAUAACGUCCGGAAACGGGCGCUAAUACCGCAUACGUCCUGAGGGAGAAAGUGGGGGAUCUUCGGACCUCACGCUAUCAGAUGAGCCUAGGUCGGAUUAGCUAGUUGGUGGGGUAAAGGCCUACCAAGGCGACGAUCCGUAACUGGUCUGAGAGGAUGAUCAGUCACACUGGAACUGAGACACGGUCCAGACCCCUACGGGAGGCAGCAGUGGGGAAUAUUGGACAAGGGGCGAAAGCCUGAUCCAGCCAUGCCGCGUGUGUGAAGAAGGUCUUCGGAUUGUAAAGCACUUUAAGUUGGGAGGAAGGGCAGUAAGUUAAUACCUUGCUGUUUUGACGUUACCAACAGAAUAAGCACCGGCUAACUUCGU